AAGAGUUUGGUACCUUCGGGUACUAUCUCCCACCAAUUGUGAACCAUUAUCGUUGCCUCGACAUCCGAUGUGUACCCGUAAGGUGUACCCAUCCUUCGGUUACUUGUACCUGAAGAGUGAUGUCGAAGGAUUUUAAACAUCUUUUAAUCAAUUAUCUGAGUCAAAACAAAUAAAAACA
This 178-nucleotide unclassified non-coding RNA is filed under the name uncultured fungus. Its description in RNAcentral is "sequence contains ITS1, 5.8S rRNA gene". The record is from RNAcentral. Lineage: Eukaryota; Fungi.